This 265-nucleotide ribosomal RNA is filed under the name Mesenchytraeus cf. armatus MK-2019. RNAcentral's name for it is "partial 16S ribosomal RNA". Lineage: Eukaryota; Metazoa; Annelida; Clitellata; Enchytraeida; Enchytraeidae. The record is from RNAcentral.
CGGGGUAACGAAAUAAGCUCUGUCUCAAUAAAAWCUAUAAAAACUAAUAUCCAAGUGAAGAAGCUUAGAUAAWAUUAAAGGACAAGAAGACCCUAUAGAGCUUUAUCUUUUUAUGUUCAUACAAAAGAAAGAUUGGGUUGGGGCGACCAUGGAUAAAUCAUCCAUAAUUUAUAAGACAAACUAGUCAAUUAAUAGAUCCUUUAAAGAUCACAGAAUCAAGCUACCUUAGGGAUAACAGUGCUAAUCCUAUUAAAGAGCUCUUAUC